This 494-nucleotide ribosomal RNA is filed under the name uncultured bacterium. RNAcentral describes it as "partial 16S ribosomal RNA". It matches the Rfam family "Bacterial small subunit ribosomal RNA", at positions 28 to 507 of the family's 1533-position model. The record is from RNAcentral.
GACGAACGCUGGCGGCGUGCUUAACACAUGCAAGUCGAACGGAAAGGCCUGCUUUCCCUUGUGGAUUGCGGGUACUCGAGUGGCGAACGGGUGAGUAACACGUGAGUGAUCUGCCCCCAACUUGGGUCUAAGCCUGGGAAACUGGGUCUAAUUCCCGAUAGGACUGCAGGGUGGUGCCUGUGGUGGAAAACGAUUUUCUAGUGGUUGGGGAUGAGCUCGCGGCCUAUCAGCUUGUUGGUGGGGUAAUGGCCUACCAAGGCGGCGACGGGUAGCCGGCCUGAGAGGGUGGACGGCCACAUUGGGACUGAGAUACGGCCCAGACUCCUACGGGAGGCAGCAGUGGGGAAGAUUGCACAAUGGGCGGAAGCCUGAUGCAGCGACGCCGCGUGGGGGAUGACGGCCUUCGGGUUGUAAACUCCUUGCGACCGCGAGGAAGCCACCUGGUUGGAAGGGUGGUGACGGUAGUGGUAGAAGAAGCACCGGCUAACUACGUG